AAAUUGAAGAGUUUGAUCAUGGCUCAGAUUGAACGCUGGCGGCAGGCCUAACACAUGCAAGUCGAACGGUAACAGRAAGCAGCUUGCUGCUUUGCUGACGAGUGGCGGACGGGUGAGUAAUGUCUGGGAAACUGCCUGAUGGAGGGGGAUAACUACUGGAAACGGUAGCUAAUACCGCAUAACGUCGCAAGACCAAAGAGGGGGACCUUCGGGCCUCUUGCCAUCGGAUGUGCCCAGAUGGGAUUAGCUAGUAGGUGGGGUAAMGGCUCACCUAGGCGACGAUCCCUAGCUGGUCUGAGAGGAUGACCAGCCACACUGGAACUGAGACACGGUCCAGACUCCUACGGGAGGCAGCAGUGGGGAAUAUUGCACAAUGGGCGCAAGCCUGAUGCAGCCAUGCCGCGUGUAUGAAGAAGGCCUUCGGGUUGUAAAGUACUUUCAGCGGGGAGGAAGGGAGUAAAGUUAAUACCUUUGCUCAUUGACGUUACCCGCAGAAGAAGCACCGGCUAACUCCGUGCCAGCAGCCGCGGUAAUACGGAGGGUGCAAGCGUUAAUC
Molecule: ribosomal RNA, 556 nt
Filed under: Escherichia coli
Lineage: Bacteria; Pseudomonadati; Pseudomonadota; Gammaproteobacteria; Enterobacterales; Enterobacteriaceae
Description: bacterial SSU rRNA
Source: RNAcentral